CGUAUAUAUAUAUAGACCUAUAGACCAAAGUCAAACUUUUACAUACUUUCCUAAGAGCUAAAUAGAGCAUUUUUUCUUAUUAUGGCACUUGAACCAAAAUUGCUUAAACAAAAAUCAUUCUUUAAAUGCUCAUUUAUUUACCUGCCUCUAUGUUUGCGUUGAUAUAUUAUUUGCAUGUGAAUGUGCACGUGUGUGCUUAUGCAUCUGUGUCCACGCACAUAUCUGUGUGUGUGUGUGUGUCUGUGUUUGUCUUUGGCUCCCAGAAGUCCCAUCGAGAGUGAUUUGUUUUGAAUACCGACGCCUGUUCUGGUGGAGACUUUUUUUUCCUCUUAGAGGUGUCAACAGAAGCUGUGAAAAGGUACAGAUCAGAGCAUAUAACAUCCCCUAAGGGACUUCUCGGAGGCUCACACUUCAUGUGCCAGACUCCCUUGUUUCAGGUUUUGCAGUGAGUGCUUCUCCUCUGGUUUUUGAUGGAGAGUCUUACUCGCAUCUCUGAUAAAGAUAAAAGUAGACAUCACCAUCUAAAUUCAUCAGCAGAAUGCACCGGAACACCAGGAAGGGGAGAUGGGAAGAAGUCUCAGGGGGUAGGCCUUGAAAAACCUCCUUCUCCGUCAUCCUUUCCGUCGUCCUCACGGUCCCGGCAUCGCUGUUCAUUGUUCAGCUGUAAAAUUGAGUGACGUUUGUAAACGUUUGACCCUCUCUCUCUCACCCUCCGUUUCAUAGUUCCUUAUGGCGAACAGGGAAACGAAAAGAUGCUCAUAUGUUGAGUGAGGUAGUCUGGAAGUUUGGCCCUGCUUGUAAAACACUGGCAAGGUUGCUUUUCAUCCUCAGCGGCAGGACCCCUGUCACUUCACUGUGGCCAUUGCCUUUGUUGGCUGGACCUUGGUGAACCCAGUAAUCGAGUUGCCAGGCUGGGAGGAGUCCUUCAUUUUCACUGGUCACCCAGGGUCUGCCAGGAAGAAAAAAAUGGACUUGGACUCAGAAUAAAAAGCAGCAGUCAGCCCCAAGGACUAAGGAGGGUGACGAUUAUUGUUCCCACAAGGAACCUAGAGUAG
This 1055-nucleotide long non-coding RNA is filed under the name Capra hircus (goat). RNAcentral describes it as "lncRNA (ENSCHIG00000006020.1)". The record is from RNAcentral. Lineage: Eukaryota; Metazoa; Chordata; Mammalia; Artiodactyla; Bovidae.